CCUACGGGAGGCAGCAGUGGGGGAUAUUGCACAAUGGGGGGAACCCUGAUGCAGCGACGCCGCUGGGGUGAAGAAGCGCCUCGGCGCGUAAAGCCCUGUCAGCAGGGAAGAAAAUGCCGGUACCUGAAGAAGAAGCCCCGGCUAACGACGUCCCGGCAGCCGCGGUAUUACGUAGGGGGCAAGCGUUAUCCGGAUUUACUGGGUGUAAGGGGGGCGCAGCCGGCGAUGCAAGCCAGGAGUGAAAGCCCGGGGCCCAACCCCGGGACUGCUCGUGGAACUGCGUGGCUGGAGUGCAGGAGGGGCAGGCGGAAUUCCUGGUGUAGCGGUGAAAUGCGUAGAUAUCAGGAGGAACACCGGUGGCGAAGGCGGCCUGCUGGACUGCAACUGACGUUGAGGCCCGAAAGCGUGGGGAGCAAACAGGAUUAGAUACCCUUGUAGUC
This 440-nucleotide ribosomal RNA is filed under the name uncultured bacterium. RNAcentral's name for it is "partial 16S ribosomal RNA". It matches the Rfam family "Bacterial small subunit ribosomal RNA", at positions 338 to 795 of the family's 1533-position model. The record is from RNAcentral.